AACGUACGCUGGCGGCGUGGAUAAGACAUGCAAGUCGAACGGGACUAAAUCUGUAGCAAUACAGGUUUAGUUUAGUGGCGAACGGGUGCGUAACACGUGGGCAAUCUGCCGAGAAGUGGGGGAUAGCUCGCCGAAAGGCGAAUUAAUACCGCAUAUGAUCAGCUAAGACAUCUUAGCGACAUCAAAGCCGGGGCAACCUGGCGCUUCUUGAUGAGCCCGCGACCUAUCAGCUAGUUGGUGAGGUAACGGCCCACCAAGGCUAUGACGGGUAGCUGGUCUGAGAGGACGACCAGUCACACUGGAACUGAGACACGGUCCAGACACCUACGGGUGCAGCAGUCGAG
RNAcentral lists this ribosomal RNA (344 nucleotides) under uncultured bacterium. Its description in RNAcentral is "bacterial SSU rRNA". It matches the Rfam family "Bacterial small subunit ribosomal RNA", at positions 29 to 359 of the family's 1533-position model. The record is from RNAcentral.